UCAUCCUCACUUUUUCUCCGAAAGAAUUAGUGACCCAUCUUUGUGGCUCUUCCCCGAAACGCUAGCCCUCUCCUCUUUCUCUCCCACUCUCUUUUCACGGCCACCACUGCCUCCAUCUCCUCCGCUCACUCCCUUACUGUCUCUCUCCCCCUCAUUAACUGCUAGCAAGCUCUCUCUCUAAAACCCUCUCCGUCUCUUUUUGGAAUUGACAUAGAUGAAGUCUAUACAGCCGCACCACAAGUUCUUACGGGAUAUGAUGGAGCCUCCCCAGUCGCCAAACCCUAGCUCCGGCAAGCCUCCAAGGAGAACGUGCCUCUGACUUCAGAUCUAACUAUACGGCCACCAAGUCCAACACUCCAACCAGACAGGAUCAUCAAAACCCUGGAGGUAAGCUAGUGUACCAGACCACUAAGAAGGGCAAGCGGACCCAAGUGUCUUGUUAUUGGCAAGAGUAUUCAAGGGUAUGCUCAUAUAAAAUGUGUCCAGAGGUGGUGCAAUGAGAAGGGAGAUAUCAUUUAUGAAAUCUGUCAUCAGCCUUAUCAACCUGGUUAUACUGCCCCAUCACCUCCCCCUUAGUUUUUGUAGAUUCCAGAACGAACUUCCA
Molecule: long non-coding RNA, 604 nt
Organism: Rosa chinensis
Lineage: Eukaryota; Viridiplantae; Streptophyta; Magnoliopsida; Rosales; Rosaceae
Exons: 4
Source: RefSeq, a predicted model, not a curated record